This 253-nucleotide ribosomal RNA is filed under the name uncultured bacterium. RNAcentral describes it as "partial 16S ribosomal RNA". It matches the Rfam family "Bacterial small subunit ribosomal RNA", at positions 524 to 776 of the family's 1533-position model. The record is from RNAcentral.
UACGUAGGGUGCAAGCGUUAAUCGGAAUUACUGGGCGUAAAGCGUGCGCAGGCGGUUGUGCAAGACAGAUUUGAAAUCCCCGGGCUCAACCUGGGAACUGCAUUUGUGACUGCACGGCUGGAGUGCGGCAGAGGGGGAUGGAAUUCCGCGUGUAGCAGUGAAAUGCGUAGAUAUGCGGAGGAACACCGAUGGCGAAGGCAAUCCCCUGGGCCUGCACUGACGCUCAUGCACGAAAGCGUGGGGAGCAAACAGG